Molecule: small nuclear RNA, 116 nt
Organism: Larimichthys crocea (large yellow croaker)
Lineage: Eukaryota; Metazoa; Chordata; Actinopteri; Sciaenidae
Gene: U5
Rfam family: U5 spliceosomal RNA
About the family: U5 RNA is a component of both types of known spliceosome. The precise function of this molecule is unknown, though it is known that the 5' loop is required for splice site selection and p220 binding, and that both the 3' stem-loop and the Sm site are important for Sm protein binding and cap methylation.
Source: Ensembl
ACAGUGUUUUCUCUUCAGAUCAUAUAAAUGUUUUGCCUUUUACUAAAGUUUUCAGUGGAGAGGAACAAAUUUUACUAAAUUUUCCAUCAUAUUGUGAAAACAUCGACACUGAUGCA